UCCUGCCGGACCUGACUGCUAUCGGAUUGAUACUAAGCCAUGCGAGUCUUUGUAGUAAUACAAGGCAGACGGCUCAGUAACACGUAGUCAACCUACCCUAUGGACAAGAAUAAUCUCGGGAAACUGGGCAUAAUUCUUGAUAGAUCAUAAUGCCUGGAAUGGUUUAUGAUUAAAAUGAUUCGUCGCCAUAGGAUGGGACUGCGGCCUAUCAGCUUGUUGGUGAGGUAAUGGCCCACCAAGGUGAUUACAGGUACGGGCUCUGAGAGGAGAAGCCCGGAGAUGGGUACUGAGACACGGACCCAGGCCCUAUGGGGCGCAGCAGGCGAGAAAACUUUGCAAUGUGCGAAAGCACGACAAGGUUAAUCCGAGUGAUUUCUGCUAAAGAAAUCUUUUGCCAGUCAUAAAACCACUGGUGAAUAAGGGGUGGGCAAGUUCUGGUGUCAGCCGCCGCGGUAAAACCAGCACCUCAAGUGGUCAGGAUGAUUAUUGGGCCUAAAGCAUCCGUAGCCGGCUUUGUAAGUUUUCGGUUAAAUCCAUGUGCUCAACGCAUGGGCUGCCGAAAAUACUGCAUGGCUAGGGAGUGGGAGAGGUAGACGGUACUCAGUAGGAAGGGGUAAAAUCCUUUGAUCUAUUGAUGACCACCUGUGGCGAAGGCGGUCUACCAGAACACGUUCGACGGUGAGGGAUGAAAGCUGGGGGAGCAAACCGGAUUAGAUACCCGGGUAGUCCCAGCUGUAAACGAUGCAGACUCGAUGAUGCAUUGGCAUAAUAGCCAGUGCAGUGUCGCAGGGAAGCCGUUAAGUCUGCCGCCUGGGAAGUACGUACGCAAGUAUGAAACUUAAAG
RNAcentral lists this ribosomal RNA (844 nucleotides) under uncultured marine group I thaumarchaeote. RNAcentral's name for it is "SSU rRNA". It matches the Rfam family "Archaeal small subunit ribosomal RNA", at positions 12 to 861 of the family's 1478-position model. The record is from RNAcentral. Lineage: Archaea; Thermoproteati; Nitrososphaerota.